This 1929-nucleotide ribosomal RNA is filed under the name Triticum aestivum (bread wheat). RNAcentral's name for it is "partial small subunit ribosomal RNA". Lineage: Eukaryota; Viridiplantae; Streptophyta; Magnoliopsida; Poales; Poaceae. The record is from RNAcentral.
AUGCCUCCAUGGCGGUUCCGAUCUGGCGGCCUCGCCUGCGCGGUGGCUAUCGCGGUGGCGACGGCGACCGCCGCAUCCGUGGUAGUGGCCGCCGGAGCAGCGGACGGCGAGGCGGAGUUCGACUACCGGAAGCUCUCGGGGAUAAUAAUCCCGGGAUUCGCGUCGACGCAGCUGCGGGCGUGGUCGGUGCUGGACUGCCCCUACUCCCCGUUCGACUUCAACCCCCUGGACUCCGUCUGGCUCGACUCCACCAAGCUUUUCUCUGCUGUAAAUUGCUGGCUUAAGUGCAUGCUGCUUGACCCUUAUAACCAGACGGACCAUCCAGAAUGUAAGUCAAGGCCAGAUAGUGGUCUUUCUGCAAUAACAGAGUUGGACCCUGGUUAUAUAACAGGUCCUCUUUCUUCAAUAUGGAAAGAAUGGGUCAAAUGGUGUGUAGAGUUUGGUAUUGAAGCUAACGCUAUCAUCGCUGUUCCGUAUGAUUGGAGGCUACCCCCAUCGAUGCUUGAGGAGAGGGAUCUGUACUUCCAUAAAUUAAAAUUAACUUUUGAAAUUGCAUUGAAACUUCGAGGAGGGCCAUCGUUGGUUUUUGCUCAUUCCAUGGGAAACAAUGUAUUCCGGUACUUUUUGGAAUGGUUGAAACUAGAAAUUGCCCCAAAACACUACAUCCAAUGGCUCGACAAACAUAUACAUGCAUACUUUGCAGUUGGUGCCCCUCUUCUCGGGUCUACCGAAUCAGUUAGAGCCACUCUCUCUGGGACGACGUCUGGUCUUCCAGUCACUGAGGGGACAGCCCGAUUGAUGUUUAAUUCAUUUGCUGCUUCUUUAUGGCUCUUGCCAUUCUCAAAAUACUGCAAAGCUGAUAAUGUAUACUGGAAGCAUUUUUUUGAGGGAAAGGCCCACAUCAACAGACAACAAUGCGAUGAGAUGGAGUAUAGUUCAGACAACUCUGGUUGGCCCACAACCCUCGUCAGUAUCGAGGUUCCUACAGAUCGAGGUGCGGAUGCUUAUCCAUCCAUUAUGGACAUAACAGAGGACAUAACAUCCAACAUGGAGUGUGGAAAGCCAACACUCUUGUCAUUUUCUGCCAGAGAAGUUUCAGAUGGUACUUUGUUCAAAACUAUGCUGGAUUAUGACCCACAGAGCAAAGCCCUUAUCCAUCAGCUGGAGAAGUACUACCAGGGUGACCCAGUUCUCAAUCCUCUGACGCCCUGGGAUAGACCCCCAAUAAAGAAUGUAUUCUGCAUAUAUGGCAUUGAUACUAAGACUGAGGUAGGAUACUAUUUUGCACCAAGUGGCAAACCAUAUCCAGAUAAUUGGAUAAUAACUGAUGUGAUUUAUGAGUUUGAACGGUCCCUACUGUCAAGAUCAGGUCAUUCUUUUUCUGGAAAGCCUAACAAUUCCAGUGGAGAUGGAACGGUAUCCUACAACUCCCUGUCAUGGUGCAAGCAAUGGCUUGGGCCAAAAGUGAACAUAACAAGGGCUCCACAGGCAGAACAUGAUGGAUCUGAUUUACAAACAAGCAUGAAUACUGAGCACUAUCAUGGUGAGGAUCUAUUUCCAAACAUGAAAAGGGCUCCACAUGUGAAGUACAUAACCUACUACGAGGACGCUGAAAGUAUUCCAGGAUGGAGAACAGCAGUCUGGGAGCUUGACAAAGCAAAUCACAGGAAUAUUGUUAGGAUGCCAGUGGUUAUGCGUGAGUUAUGGCUUGAAAUGUGGCAUGACAUGCACCCUUAUUCACAAUCAAAAUUUGUGACAAAAGCUUUCCGAGGUCCAUUGAGACACGAAGAUUGCCACUGGGAUUAUGCAAAAGCUCGGUGCGCCUUUCCAGAAUUCUGUGAAUACAGGUACACGUUUGGUGACGUGCAUCUAGGAAUGAGCUGCAGGCUGAAAUAUUCAUCAACUAAGCUCCUUCGGCAGUAUCUCUGA